This 398-nucleotide long non-coding RNA is filed under the name Cricetulus griseus (Chinese hamster). RNAcentral describes it as "lncRNA (ENSCGRG00015036529.1)". Lineage: Eukaryota; Metazoa; Chordata; Mammalia; Rodentia; Cricetidae. The record is from RNAcentral.
CAGUGAUGUAAGGGCUCUCAGCUCCUGCUCCAGCACUGUUUGCCUGCACGCAGCCAUGUCACACUCCGAUGAUAAUGGGCUGAACCUCUGAAAAUUAGUUCCACUCCCUGAUGGCUAAGCAGUCAAAUAUAUGAGCCUACGAAGACACCCCACCCCCACAGGCAGGGUCUCUCUGUGUAGUCCUGGCUAUCUUGGGAACUUGCUCUGCAAAUCAGCCUGGCCUUGAACUCACAGAGAUCUGCCUGCCUCUGCCUGCUGGGAUUAAAGGGUGGAAACCCAGGGCCUCAGCCAUGACAGGGCUUCUUUGUGUAGCAGACCUGGCUGUCCUGGAACUAGCUCUGUGGACCAGGCUAACCUCGAACUCACAGAGAUCUGCCUCCAGAGUGCUGGAACUAACG